Molecule: ribosomal RNA, 468 nt
Filed under: uncultured bacterium
Lineage: Bacteria
Description: partial 16S ribosomal RNA
Rfam family: Bacterial small subunit ribosomal RNA
Source: RNAcentral
GACGAACGCUGGCGGCGUGCUUAACACAUGCAAGUCGAACGAAAAGGCCCUGCUUUUGUGGGGUGCUCGAGUGGCGAACGGGUGAGUAACACGUGAGUAACCUGCCCUUGACUUUGGGAUAAGUUCAGGAAACUGGGGCUAAUACCGGAUAGGAGCUCCUGCUGCAUGGUGGGGGUUGGAAAGUUUCGGCGGUUGGGGAUGGACUCGCGGCUUAUCAGCUUGUUGGUGGGGUAGUGGCUUACCAAGGCUUUGACGGGUAGCCGGCCUGAGAGGGUGACCGGCCACAUUGGGACUGAGAUACGGCCCAGACUCCUACGGGAGGCAGCAGUGGGGAAUAUUGCACAAUGGGCGGAAGCCUGAUGCAGCAACGCCGCGUGCGGGAUGACGGCCUUCGGGUUGUAAACCGCUUUCGCCUGUGACGAAGCGUGAGUGACGGUAAUGGGUAAAGAAGCACCGGCUAACUACGUG